UGCUGAUAGAAUAGAGUUUGCUGGUC
RNAcentral lists this non-coding RNA (26 nucleotides) under Homo sapiens (human). Lineage: Eukaryota; Metazoa; Chordata; Mammalia; Primates; Hominidae. The record is from RNAcentral.